GAUGAACGCUGGCGGCGUGCCUAAUACAUGCAAGUCGAGCGAACAGAUGAGGAGCUUGCUCCUCUGACGUUAGCGGCGGACGGGUGAGUAACACGUGGAUAACCUACCUAUAAGACUGGGAUAACUUCGGGAAACCGGAGCUAAUACCGGAUAAUAUAUUGAACCGCAUGGUUCAAUAGUGAAAGACGGUUUUGCUGUCACUUAUAGAUGGAUCCGCGCCGCAUUAGCUAGUUGGUAAGGUAACGGCUUACCAAGGCAACGAUGCGUAGCCGACCUGAGAGGAUGAUCGGCCACACUGGAACUGAGACACGGUCCAGACUCCUACGGGAGGCAGCAGUGGGGAAUCUUCGGCAAUGGGCGAAAGCCUGACGGAGCAACGCCGCGUGAGUGAUGAAGGUCUUCGGAUCGUAAAGCUCUGUAAGUAGGGAAGAAGAGAUGUGUAAGUAACUAUGCCCGUCUUGACGGUACCUACUGAGAAAGCAACGGCUAACUACGUG
RNAcentral lists this ribosomal RNA (497 nucleotides) under uncultured bacterium. RNAcentral's name for it is "partial 16S ribosomal RNA". It matches the Rfam family "Bacterial small subunit ribosomal RNA", at positions 28 to 507 of the family's 1533-position model. The record is from RNAcentral.